AUUCCAUAUAUCAAUUCAUCAAAUGCUAAAGGCGAUGACAAGUUCACUGAGGCACUACUAGUCAGAAGAAGUGUGAAACAAACACAAAACAAAAAAAAUUGCAGAUUGAUCCCAGUGGGAAAAAAAGGAAAAUCUCAUUUAGCCGUUAGCAAAACAAAAAUAUUAGCUCAGUCUAUAAACCUUACUCAAUUUUCGAUAGAAAGAAACAAACAAAACAAAUUUGAUGUUCAAAAUAGCUAGAUUUCCAUCAGAUUUGUCAUGUCCAUAGAAUUAGCACUCAAACAUUCUCCACAACCUAGCGGAGGACACUAGAAAAUUGGCAGACGCAUCCUAACAAGAGCAGAACAGCGAUAGAAAAUCAAAUGACGGAAGAUUAACAGAAGAACCAGUGAAUCAACAGGACAAGAACAAGAAAAAUAACAACGGCAACAGUACUACAACAGUUUUACGAACCAAGACGAGGUGAACAAACCACACGAAUGUAAAGCUAAACCAAACAUGACGAGAAUGAACCAAACCUUAAUAAGUUAUUGCUGAAAUUUAAGUCAAUUCUACUUGGAUAGCUGAAGUUUAUACCAGCUACUACUUUAGAACAAGCAUUGAAUCGCUUAUCUUCGAGCAUUCGUAUCAUGUCUUGGUAAAUACCAUUGACUGGGCAACACAACAACAACAAAAGAUAACUGGUAUAAGUUUCAUAAGCUCGUAUUGCAGUCGAGACAGGUAAGAAACUCUGUGAAUCAAUGAAUCGACAAACAACAACUACGUCUCAUCUAUCAACCAUAGAGCGGACCAGAUGUUCAGCCAUUCAUGUAAAAAUUUAGCAAGUACAAACUUUUAAAACAUAUUUCAACACAUAAAGAAAUCAAACACCUUAAUAUAUAAAAAAACGAAAAUCCAGAAACUGAUAAUGUAACUUAAAAUUUCAUAUCUUAAGCUCCAGCCAUACUUUGAUCAUACAUACAUAAAAUAGAGCAAGAUAAGAUGUAAAACUGAACGAGAUUUUUCGAUUAAUUUUCCUAAAGGCGAUUACAAGAUAGCACGGUGACAAACUUGUCCGCAAAACUAUAAAUCACAAAUUGCUUAAGGGGCCAUGAAAAGGCUAAGAGAAUGGGGAUAGAGCUCGGCACAAGCAACAAUCAGCAGUAAUAAAAACAUAUAUCCGUCACAAACUUCAGAAUCCCAGAGAAACGAGAAGACGAGGCAGUAGCAACUUCAAAUAGUCCUGCUCUUGAUUUUUUGUAUGACGUUUUUAUAUUCAAAGAUGCAGGAAUCUAUGUAUUUCUUCUUCCAAAUUCAAAACAAUCUCAACAGCUUCACCAAACUCUAAAAUUCCCAAAAGAGAAAAGUACAACAAAUUGAGAUUGAACUGACCUUGCAACCUUGAAGUUCGGAUCUAGUCUCUCUAAUUUCACGCUCUUACUAGAGGCCUAAGUGUGUGUGAAAGGGAGGAACGUGUAUGAGUGAGAUGGAUCAAUGUGGGUGUGUGAUUUUUGUCAAGAAGAAGAAGCUAGCGUCGUUUCUCUUUGGAAGGGAAGGGGUCUGGGAAAUCUGAUAUGGUCUUGGUAGCGUGAGAGGGGUAAAGCGGGUCGGGUCGGAUCGGGU
This 1602-nucleotide long non-coding RNA is filed under the name Nicotiana benthamiana. RNAcentral's name for it is "long non-coding RNA (NBEN_LNC031443)". Lineage: Eukaryota; Viridiplantae; Streptophyta; Magnoliopsida; Solanales; Solanaceae. The record is from RNAcentral.